GAGUGGGAGAAGGGUCCCUGCUGGCUGCCGUGUCCUGGGUGGGCACAGAGCUCUGACCUUGGCCAGAUGGGCUGGUCUCCGGGUGUUUUGAUCCUGACGCUGAACUGGGGCUCUUACCUGUGUGACCUGUGAAAUGUCCCGGAAGCUGAUCGAUGUCUUUGUGCUCCCGCUGUGUUCAUUUGGGCUGUGCUUCAGGCUUCUCUCCCGGGGCCCUUGGCGUUGCUGUAUCUCUUGGAUGCCGUGCAGAACGGAAUCAGGCAGCCAAGCCUCAGGUUCACCUUCUCCCUCACCCUCUGCGCUGCUCGUGUGGCACAGCAGAUCCUGAAGCCAGAGGAGCACGUGUACAUAAGGGUAAAGAGAUUCCUUCUGUCGCACCGGUGUUUGGACCUGAGGAAGGUACCGGGUUUCCUCCAGCUUUUCUACAGUUUUGAU
Vidua macroura (Pin-tailed whydah) is the source of this 432-nucleotide long non-coding RNA. RefSeq lists it as uncharacterized. Lineage: Eukaryota; Metazoa; Chordata; Aves; Passeriformes; Viduidae. The record is from RefSeq and is a predicted model, not a curated record. The transcript has 3 exons.